This 560-nucleotide long non-coding RNA is filed under the name Homo sapiens (human). Its description in RNAcentral is "TMEM132D antisense RNA 1 (TMEM132D-AS1)". The record is from RNAcentral. Lineage: Eukaryota; Metazoa; Chordata; Mammalia; Primates; Hominidae.
UGCCACCACGUGAGAAGUGCCUUUCGCCUCCCGCCAUGAUUCUGAGGCCUCCCUAGCCAUGGGGACCUGUCGUCGCUGCCCUCAGCCUCCAGAUGCAGCCCCCCUGCCACCUUCAGGACCCCUGGCUCUCCCCUGGACUCAGUAGCGAAAGGGUUUAUGUGCUCGGAGGGAGACCUUCAGGAAUCUGUGCAUAGAAUGCCAUAGUGCAGAGGAAACAGCCCCAGAAAAUGGAACAGCUGCUAAGUGAGACUCCUCAGCCAGGCCAGAGAAUGUGCAUUCUGACGGACUGCUUCUCAUUUGCACUGAUCACUGUCUUCUUUCUGAAACCAGCCCAACUUUUCUCCCAGAGAGUAUCAUGGAACUGAACUUUCAAGAUCAUGGCAUCUGGACAUCGAGAAAACAGAACCCUCAUCUGGCCACCUGCUGCUUUUUGACCAAUUCCCAUAUAAACCGCUAACUUCAGUCAGUUGGAGGGAUGGAUUUGAGAUUUGCCUUCUGUCUCUCAGGUGAUGUCACCAGCAAUAAAGCCUUCUUCCCUGGCAAUAAAAAAAAAAAAAAAA